Phascolarctos cinereus (koala) is the source of this 922-nucleotide non-coding RNA. The record is from RefSeq and is a predicted model, not a curated record. Lineage: Eukaryota; Metazoa; Chordata; Mammalia; Diprotodontia; Phascolarctidae.
UCUAAUCUAUUUACCAUCCACGUUUUCUAAUGUGCCUCCCUCACCCUGCCCAAGCUGAAUGCAAUACCCUGGAUGUGGCCUGAAUAUGGAAGAAUGCAGUUGAGUUAUCGACUCCCUCUUUUUGAACACUAUGGAGCUAUGCUGGUGACUGACACCUUGCAGUUUGGGGCUGGUUCGUGCGCAGCUGCCUUUUGGGGAGAAGAGUUUGCUGCACAUGCAUGUUUUCUGGGUGGGGGGAAGGUUUUUCCUGCUAAGGCUGAGAAGGUGCACUUUUCUGCUCUUUUUAUUAAAACAGCUGGAGAAAGAAGGUCUCGUUCCACUCCACUCUAGAAUAUGGAGGUGUGAUAAAGGUUUCUGCUAAGGAUCAUGACCACAAAGUGCAAAGAGUUUGAGACAAAGACAAAGGUUUCCAUCCCAGGGCAGCACUAUAAAUAUCCAUGGGGGAGUGUGCUACUUGACUCCCUAGUAACCCCUACUGCUUUCCUCUUGGAGGCUGGGCAGAGGGAAAGGGAACUUCAGUCUCAAGGCAUAAGUUGGAAGCACUAAAUAUAUCCAAGUGGCGAACUGACUGGUAAAGGGCCAAACUCGGACUUUAUAGAACAUGGCUCUGGAUGGGUAUAUCUUAUUCAAAUAAAAAAAGGUAAAAGGCAGGGUGAGGUGGCAUUGUUCACUAAGAAGCUAUACUUACAACUCUGAGGAAAUCCAGAAUCCAAGCAUAGAAGUAUGAUGGAAAGCAUUUGGGUGAAGAUCAAUGGAUGGUUAACCCAUUCCUCUUCUGAAUUUCCCUAUUUCUGUUCAGGCCAAAUUUUGGCUUGAUAUUAGGGAAAACCUCCCAACAAGGAGAGCUAUCUGAAAGUAGAAUGGGCUACCUCAGGAGUUCUUCAAGAAGAGGACUAGAUGACCAUUUAUUAGGUAUAUUAUA